ACACACCACUGGUUGCACAACAGUGUGGUCCCUCUUGAUAACAGAAAAAAUAUUGCAUGUCUCUGCAAAGAGAAUUAAUGGCAUUAUGACAUUUACUGAACACAUAAAGUACUUAAACACAUCAGAAAAUAUGUGACUUUGUAAAGGAGUUCAAUUUUUAAAUGUCAAACUCUCUUUAAAGCAGAGAGAUUUUAGAGAGCCUAUUUGGAUUCCUGGUACAAUCACUAUCUUUUCUUUUUAAGCAGUAUAUUUUCUUCUGAGAGUUGGUGCAGCCUCCAGCACAGAAAUUUCAGCCAGGGUUAUUGCCUGCCAGUUGUAAUCCCUCAGAAUUUCAGCCAGCAAGGGUAUAAUAAGCUGAACCACCUCAGAGUUUUCAGUCUGUCUUCACUGGAGAGGUGUUGCAUCCCUCUGACCAUCUUUGUGAUUCUCCUCUGGACUUGCUCUGACAGGUAUGUCUUUCUCUUGCUGAGGACCCCAGACCUGUAUGCAAUAUUCCAGGUAUGCAGUGUCCUGUUGCCCAGGUCAUUAAUGAAGAAGCUGAACAUUAUUGGCCCCAGUAUCAACCCCUGGGGUGCACUCCUGCGUUUUCUUCCAACUGGAUUUUGUGCCACGGGUUAAAAUCCAGUGGGCUUAGCCAUCCAACCCAAAUGUCAAUCACUCCUCUGUGCACUCACAUAACCUGUGCUUCAUCACCUUGUCCAAGAGAAUGUUAGGUGAGACAGUGUUAAAAGCCAAGUAAAGUCAGAGUAAAUGACACCCACUACUCUCCUCUCAUUCAAAAAGUUAGUCACUUCAUUGUACAAAGCUAAUGUCUUGGCCAAGCAUGAUUUGCCUUCAUAAUUCUAUGAAGACUACUCCAAAUCACUUUGUCCUUCAGGUGUUUGGAAACGCUGCAGAAGGAUUAUGUCCAUCAUCUUCUCAGCCAGAGAGGUGAGGCUGACUACUCUGUAGUUCUCCAGUUCUUCCUCCUUGCCAUUCUUGUAGAUAGGAAUGGCAUCUGCUCUCUUCAAGAUCCUCACCACUCAUAAAUGUUCAAAACCAAUCAAGAGUGACUUCACAAUGUAAUCAGCCAUCUCCCUCAGCACUCAGAUCCUACAAACAUAUUUGUGUAUUUUAAACUUAGUUUUGUCCUAAUGUACUUCCUGAAGAAAGAAAAGGCUUUAUAAAAAUGGCAGCAUUUCAGGAGAGACUUUAAGCUAAUAAUGUCUCUAUGAAAGUGAUUGCAACUAUUGAAUAAGUAAAAGAGAAAUCCUUCAAAGUAUGUUCACAGUCUUCUGCAAAUAACACCCUACUUAAAGAUCUAACUUUUAAAGGUCUCUCCCAUAUGUUCUAUGCAUGAAGUAAAUGUGAUGUCAGGUUCUAGAGUUAAUGAACUAAGCCCAUCCAGGCAGAAUUUUGAAUGGAGGGAGGAAGGCAAUCAGAGAUUAUAAUAUUUGUUUUCUGAUCAGGUAUUUACUUUACAUCCAUUAGAAACCACAAAACCCUAGAGAAUAUACAGAAGUGCACAGGGCACAGGAACAAUAAAGGGAAAAGAAGUGACAAUUUCAUGAUAUACUGGCAUUUGGUUAUCAAGAGGUCACAAAUAUUGUUUUUCAAUAAUAUGGCAUGUAGAAUAGUUUAUUAUUUUAUAGUAUUUUGCACAGUUUUAUUAUUUGUAUUUAAUAAUUGUAAUUUCUUGUAUCUGCCAUAAGUUGGCUAAUUUAUUUUUCAUCUUUUUUAAUGUAGUAAGUAGAAUUUUGCUGUUGCUUGCUGCUGCAUUAUUGAACUGAGAUUUCAGCUUUUUUCAUUAAGGCAUAGCUUUUGUUGCUUACCUUGACUCCUGAUGAAGAUCCAAAUGUCUAUAUGUAUAUGCAAGAUGAUAUAUAGAAAAUACCUGUAUUUGUUUCCUAAUGCAGAAUUUAAUGAGAAAACAACACAAAGAAACAUCUAUUUUCCAUAUGUAUUAUUCCACCUGUUAAUAAACUGGCAUUUGUUAAAUUUGCCACCUACAGAGGA
Passer domesticus (house sparrow) is the source of this 1995-nucleotide long non-coding RNA. RefSeq lists it as uncharacterized. The transcript has 3 exons. The record is from RefSeq and is a predicted model, not a curated record. Lineage: Eukaryota; Metazoa; Chordata; Aves; Passeriformes; Passeridae.